Manis javanica (Malayan pangolin) is the source of this 908-nucleotide non-coding RNA. The record is from RefSeq and is a predicted model, not a curated record. Lineage: Eukaryota; Metazoa; Chordata; Mammalia; Pholidota; Manidae.
GCGCACCCGGGGCAGUGAACUACAACUCCCGCGAGGCAGCGCGGCGGCAGCGGCCGUUUCUUUGGGCGCCAGCGGUAUGAGCCUUGGGGUUGGCGGGUCAUGGCUGUUCCCCUUUUGCAGCUGCCCGUUUUGCUGUAGAGUUGCUUUCCUGAGGCUCUGCUCCUUGGCGCGCGUCUGCCCUUGGGACGGGGACCGUGGCCUUAGGCAGAGUAGGGUCUAACCUCGGGAAAAAACAAAGCAAGAUGAUCCGCUGUGGGAUUUGCUCUGGCGUGCUGGGGGGGCCCAGCUUAUUUUUUUUACUUUACCCAGGUGCUGCUUUUCCUCCUCCAGCCCUAAUCGAGUGAUUUGCAACCUGGGCAAUUUAGCAAGCAAGCCCAAAACAACUUGGUAAAAACAGGAAGGAUUCCAUCUUGGAGAUAAAAUUGCAUUUGAAAACCCAAUUCCUUAAAAAACAGGUAGCUGGAUGUAGAGGCGCAAUUAGAUUCACGUCUGGAUGUUCGACAGCCCUUCACAGGUGGUGUUCGUGUUUCCUGUUGCAGCCUAUCAGAAGUGAAUAAUUUGAUGCUCCAGUUGUCCACAGUUUGGCCAGGAACAGCUCUUUCAAGCCAACGCCUGUGUGUUUUUGACAUGACCCAGUAGCUUUUGCUAGCUUCUUUGCUUUCUAGUCUGAGACGCUGCAAAGUUCACUCUCUACAUUUUCUGACCCAGUCCUAGAAUUGACUGUUUCUCUGAGCCCUAGUUCUUUUUAGUGGGAAGUAUGUUUUGGAGACUGAUAGAAUCUGGAUCUGAGGAUCACCUUUCGAAUAAGCCCACCCACCAUCACAGAGAGACCUCGGUGUCAUCUUACCUGGGCUACAAGCAUUCUCCAGAGGACACAUCAGCAAGCCACAAGCCCACCUUUUCCAACC